UCCAUAAAGUAGAGAGUACUAC
RNAcentral lists this microRNA (22 nucleotides) under Salmo salar (Atlantic salmon). RNAcentral describes it as "ssa-miR-142b-5p". Its record names the gene ssa-miR-142b-5p. The record is from miRBase by way of RNAcentral. Lineage: Eukaryota; Metazoa; Chordata; Actinopteri; Salmoniformes; Salmonidae.